This 64-nucleotide transfer RNA is filed under the name Coendou insidiosus. RNAcentral describes it as "tRNA-Tyr". It matches the Rfam family "tRNA". Rfam says of the family: Transfer RNA (tRNA) molecules are approximately 80 nucleotides in length. Lineage: Eukaryota; Metazoa; Chordata; Mammalia; Rodentia; Erethizontidae. The record is from RNAcentral.
GGUAAAAUGGCUGAGUAAGCAUUAGACUGUAAAUCUAAAGACAGAGGUUAAACUCUUUUUACCA